Molecule: ribosomal RNA, 109 nt
Filed under: Aotus nancymaae (Ma's night monkey)
Lineage: Eukaryota; Metazoa; Chordata; Mammalia; Primates; Aotidae
Source: RNAcentral
GUCUAUGACCAUACCACCCUGAACACACCCAAUCUUGGAAACUAAGCAGGGUCAGGCCUGGUUAGUACUUGGAUGGGAGACCACCUGGGAAUACCGGGUGCUAUAGGCU